AGAAUAUUGGUACUGGGCAAAA
This 22-nucleotide microRNA is filed under the name Nematostella vectensis (starlet sea anemone). RNAcentral's name for it is "nve-miR-2024f-5p". Lineage: Eukaryota; Metazoa; Cnidaria; Anthozoa; Actiniaria; Edwardsiidae. The record is from miRBase by way of RNAcentral.